This 441-nucleotide ribosomal RNA is filed under the name uncultured bacterium. RNAcentral's name for it is "partial 16S ribosomal RNA". It matches the Rfam family "Bacterial small subunit ribosomal RNA", at positions 338 to 795 of the family's 1533-position model. The record is from RNAcentral.
CCUACGGGAGGCAGCAGUGGGGAAUAUUGGGCAAUGGGCGCAAGCCUGACCCAGCAACGCCGCGUGAAGGAAGAAGGCUUUCGGGUUGUAAACUUCUUUUGUCAGGGAAGAGUAGAAGACGGUACCUGACGAAUAAGCCACGGCUAACUACGUGCCAGCAGCCGCGGUAAUACGUAGGUGGCAAGCGUUGUCCGGAUUUACUGGGUGUAAAGGGCGUGUAGCCGGGUUGACAAGUCAGAUGUGAAAUCCUGCGGCUUAACCGCAGAACUGCAUUUGAAACUGUUGAUCUUGAGUACUGGAGAGGCAGAUGGAAUUCCUAGUGUAGCGGUGAAAUGCGUAGAUAUUAGGAGGAACACCAGUGGCGAAGGCGGUCUGCUGGACAGCAACUGACGGUGAGGCGCGAAAGCGUGGGGAGCAAACAGGAUUAGAUACCCCUGUGUC